UACGUAGGUGGCGAGCGUUGUCCGGAUUUGCUGGGCGUAAAGAGCGCGCAGGCGGCUACGCACGUCCGUUGUGAAAUCGCUCGGCUCAACUGGGCGGGGUCGGCGGAUACGGCGUAGCUGGAGCAAGCUAGGGGGCAAUGGAAUUCCCGGUGUAGUGGUGGAAUGCGUAGAUAUCGGGAGGAACACCAGUGGCGAAGGCGGCUACCUGGACCGGUUCUGACGCUGAGGCGCGAAAGCGUGGGUAGCAAACAGG
This 253-nucleotide ribosomal RNA is filed under the name uncultured bacterium. Its description in RNAcentral is "partial 16S ribosomal RNA". It matches the Rfam family "Bacterial small subunit ribosomal RNA", at positions 524 to 776 of the family's 1533-position model. The record is from RNAcentral.